CUCUCUCUCACGCACACACACACACACCCACCCACCCACCCACCUAUAAACACCGCCGCCUCUCAUUCCUCUCUCUGCUUCGUGUUUUAAAGUUUUGUUACCUGAAGAAGUGGUUGUGGAUCGGGUCGGAUCGGCGCAGAUCGAACAAAAUCAAAUGGAAUCGUCUCCAGGAACGUUCGGCGUUGAAGAGCUGUUGAAAUCAUGGGCGGCGGGUUCGAUUAAACGGCAGUUGGAGGAGAUGCAAUCCAAUCCCUAAGACGAUUUCAAGUGCCUCGCACUCACGUCGGACCCAUAUGACUGGCAAUUUGCAAUCACAGGCCCUAAUGGAACUGACUUCGAGGCUGGGAUUUAUCAUGGUCGGAUCCAGUUUUUGGGGAAAUACCCACACAACAUAAGCGUCCUAUGUUCACGUUGUUGUCGGAAAUAUCAUAUGUCGUUGCUUUUUAAGGAAAAUGGUCGCUUCAAAACCCAAACCGAGAUCAGUUUCAGCGAUAUUUUUCGGAAGGAGCAACACGGUCGUACAUUUCAUUCUUUCUGAGACAUUAUGUAUGCUAGUAUAUAAUGUUAGAAUACAUCUCUUGAAACACUCACUCUCCUGCUAAAGAAGAAGAGAAGACACAUAAUCCACCAAAACACAAAAGCUAUUCUUCUACUCUCAAUAAACCAAAAUGCUUUUGCUAAUGGAUAAGGUUUUAGCCUCAUUAUUAUAUAAGUUUUCUUGACUGUAUGCCCUUGUUUUUUAUAUAAUGUGCCAUCUUGCUAUUGUACUGUUGCUGUUGGCAGUGCGAGAUGCUUUGCUUAGACUUAUUGAGUUAUUGCCCACCUACCCAAUAGAGAAACCAGCUCGACUUCCUGAGAAGACAACCAAGAAUGAUGAACUGAGGUGAUCUGUAUUGAAAACAGCAUUACAUCAUCAUUAAUAGGAUUAGAGUUUGGAUUUGGAAACAUCAUACAUCAUCUAUAUAUUUCAAUUCGAUUUCAAUUCAAUUGGGCCGACCCAAUUAGAUUCGGUUCGAUUUUGCAAGUUUAGUUGGUUUGAGCCCAAUAUCAGUUUUUUUUUUUUUCAAAUGUCCAAUAUUGGUUUGUUUUUUCCAAAAAGCUAAAUAUCAGUUUUUUAAACAGGCCAGCCAUAAAGCCAUUUCGUUUUACAGUACUAUCAAUCCAAGUAUAAUCUAUUAGUUCUUACAGCACAUGACAAAAAAAUUUACAUAAAGCAAGAAAUUUAUAUUACACUUACAACAAUAGCUGCAGCAA
Long non-coding RNA from Prunus persica (peach), 1254 nucleotides. RefSeq lists it as uncharacterized. Lineage: Eukaryota; Viridiplantae; Streptophyta; Magnoliopsida; Rosales; Rosaceae. The transcript is spliced from 3 exons. The record is from RefSeq and is a predicted model, not a curated record.